AAAGUAUAAGGUUUUCCUAAUGGCAAAAAUGUAUUAGGUAAAACUUAUACUUUUCAUCAGAAGCCAGCGGAGUGAAAAAAAAACAUGGCGAUUAAGUCUUGUGGAGAUAAUUAUCUCGUGCGGUGGUUUAUAAGAUUAUGCUAAACAGCAGCCAUUGAAGAUGUGUAUGGACGAGGACAGGUUUUCGUACGGUUUGGAGGGAUUCAGCCAUGAAAACACUCAGUGGAUCUUGUACGAAACAGGGACGAGUAGGGCCACCGAAUCAGAACAGCAUUAGCUUUAGCUAUACGGCUAUAAGAAUCCAGCACACGUCUUUCGCAGCAUACCUAUUCCGUUAGAUGUUAUGCCACAAGUUUUCCGAGUCAUAUAAGAGUCUAAUGAGCUACCAAUAAGAAAAUCUAUUAAUGAAUAAAGGAAAGCCUUACGUUAUUUUGAUUCUAA
Armigeres subalbatus is the source of this 441-nucleotide long non-coding RNA. RefSeq lists it as uncharacterized. NCBI's taxonomy places the organism in Eukaryota, Metazoa, Arthropoda, Insecta, Diptera, Culicidae. The record is from RefSeq and is a predicted model, not a curated record. The transcript is spliced from 3 exons.